RNAcentral lists this unclassified non-coding RNA (3376 nucleotides) under Leishmania donovani. RNAcentral describes it as "gene:LdHU3.32.4440(CDS-product:dihydrolipoamide_d ehydrogenase_putative)". The record is from RNAcentral. Lineage: Eukaryota; Euglenozoa; Kinetoplastea; Trypanosomatida; Trypanosomatidae.
UUUCUACCAUCUCGUAGCGACCCCUCCCCUCCCCUCCCCCUUCACUCACUCAGCACUUACUCAGCGGACCCUUAGCCUUAUUCCUUUCGCGUGCCCCCUCCUCUUCCUCCCUCCCGCUUUUCGUGGCGACGCUGAGUGGCCUAAGGUCGAACACCCACACUUUUCCCCACUUCGCACACACAAGCACACACCAGCAUGUUCCGCAGGAACAUAGCGCACCUGGCGUCCUACGACGUGACGGUGAUCGGCGGUGGCCCUGGCGGGUACGUGGCAGCCAUCAAGGCCGCCCAGCUCGGCCUCAAGACCGCUUGCAUCGAGAAGCGCGGUGCUCUUGGCGGCACCUGCCUGAAUGUCGGCUGCAUCCCGUCAAAGGCGCUGCUGCACGCGACGCACCUGUACCACGACGCCCACGCCAACUUUGCCCAGUAUGGCCUGCGCGGCGGGGAGAACGUGACGAUGGAUGUGUCUGCGAUGCAGGCGCAGAAGGCGAAGGGGGUGAAGGCGCUGACGGGCGGCGUCGAGUACCUCUUCAAGAAGAACAAGGUCACGUACUACAAGGGCGAGGGCAGCUUCGUGAACCCCAACACGAUCAAGGUGAAAGGUCUCGACGGCAAGGACGAGACGCUCGAGUCGAAGAAGACGAUUGUGGCCACUGGGAGCGAGCCGACGGAGCUGCCGUUCCUGCCCUUCGACGAGAAGGUUGUGAUGUCCUCCACCGGCGCCCUCGACCUUGACCACGUGCCCAAGAAGAUGAUCGUGGUUGGCGGCGGCGUGAUUGGGCUGGAGCUUGGUAGCGUGUGGGCCCGCCUCGGUGCUGAGGUGACCGUCGUGGAGUUUGCCUCUCGCUGCGCCGCCAACACCGACGCCGACGUGUCCAAGGCGCUCACGGAUGCGCUGGUGAAGCACGAAAAGAUAAAAAUUAUGACCAACACAAAGGUCGUUAGCGGGACGAACAACGGUAGCAGCGUGACGAUCGAGGUGGAGGACAAGGAUGGAAAGCAUCAGACGCUCGAGGCGGACGCGCUGCUGUGCUCCGUGGGCCGCCGCCCGCACACGACUGGGCUGAACGCCGAGGCCAUCAACCUCCAGAUGGAGCGCGGCUUUAUCUGCAUCAACGACCACUUCGAGACGAACGUGCCAAACGUAUACGCGAUCGGCGAUGUCGUGAACAAGGGCCCAAUGCUAGCGCACAAGGCCGAGGAGGAAGGCGUCGCGUGCGCGGAGAUGCUGGCUGGCAAGCCCGGGCACGUGAACUACAACGUCAUCCCCGGCGUCAUCUACACCAACCCUGAGGUCGCGCAGGUGGGCGAGACGGAAGAGCAGGUGAAGAAGAGGGGCAUCGACUACAAGGUUGGCAAGUUCCCCUUCAGCGCCAACUCGCGCGCCAAGGCUGUCGGCACCGAGGAUGGCUUCGUGAAGGUGGUGACGGACAAGAAGACGGACCGAAUCCUUGGCGUUCAGAUUGUGUGCACGGCUGCUGGCGAGAUGAUCGCGGAGCCGACGCUGGCGAUGGAGUACGGCGCGAGCUCCGAGGACUUGGGCCGCACCUGCCACGCUCACCCAACAAUGUCCGAGGCGGUGAAGGAGGCGUGCAUGGCGUGUUUUGCGCAGACGAUCAACUUCUAAGCGGGUAGGAAAUGUGUGCGCUUGCGCGAGUGAGGGAGGCAGAGGUGCAGGGCGGCGCUGGCGGAUGUGAGCACGCAGACUUGCACGUACAAACACACGCCGCUGAGCUCCUUUCGCGCCGUCGACUUUGUCUUCCACCACGACCACCUACCAACUCUAUCGCUCUCCAAAGAGCACACAUAAACACACUCACAUGCGUAGCGGUGUGUGCCGAGGUGGGGUGGUGGCGAAAGAGGGCGCUUCACACAGACAACUUCUUCCAGGGAUAUGCACCUCGUAGGGCACUGAGCCAGCGGUACAAACUCGACACCUUGUUGUCGCUUGGAGAGGGUCGGAGUGCGAUGGCCCCUCAGGGAGUGGGCGAGCGCCGUCGCCCUCUGUCUGCCGUGUGUCUCUGAGCCCCCGCCCUCCCUUACCACCAAAAGUUUUGGCUUCCUCCCGGGGGUUUUCCUUUGUUUGACUUCCUUUACGUUUUCCGUCUGAUUUUUUUAUAUUGUUCCUUUUUUUUUUCGUGUGGGCUCGUGUGUGUGCGUGUGUGUAUGUAUGUGGAUGUGUGCCGCCGCCUCGUGUGUGCACGCACGUUGGCGAGCAAGUCUUCGCUCACCAAGAACAGGGAGGGGAUACAUCCAAUCAACCCGAGUACGAAGAGGUACCCUACCAAUGAAGAUAGCCGGGUGGGGAGAGACGAAGCCGCUAGAGAAAUAGUGGAGGCGAUGUGGGAGCAGAGCGCAACGCACUCUGCCUGUCUCCCUUGAUCCCGGUUCUCUGGAUGCUAUGCGCGUCCGCCCCCCUCUUGCACAGUCACUCUCUCACUCUCCGCUGCCUUUUGUGGUAUUUGGCCGUUUGGCCCUCUUUUGUGUCUGUCUGUUGCGUAGUAGUCUGGGUGCUGCAACGUCGAGAUGCGUGUGUAUGCAUGCACGCCUCUCUUUCUGUCUGCGUGACGUUUAAGAUAGAGGUAGAGGGGGUAGGUGAAACGGGACGAUGACAGAGAGGCAGAGAGCGUGAAGAGGAGAGAGGGAUGCUGGCUCGAGGUAGCGAGUGUUGGUAGGUAUAUCUGAACGAGUGGGUGCGCGAUGUGGAGAGUGUAAUGCGACGCAACUUUAGUGUUUUAUCGCAAACAUGAAUGUGAAGGGAGAGGGAGAGCGGGGUGCGGUGCUCAACCACUGCCACCUCGAUCAGCCUUUCUUCGCUUCAUGGUGGGGAUGGCUUUGGCACACGAGAGAGCAGUAAAACGAAGGAGAGGGGUGCCGAGAAGGUGUCGGACGUUUUAGAUCUUAAGCAUGACCGAAAAGGGUACAGCGGUUGUCAUAGUCGCCCGCGUGGCUCUUUAGUGGAUGUCCCAGCGUGUGUGCGAGUUUGCGCGUAGGGAGCGGGAUCUUCUCUCUGCUCUCGUCGUGUGCUGUGCACAGCAAGAAACACUGCUAUGGCGCACGCACUCGCACGCAUGGCGCUUGGCCCCCCAUGCUCUCCACUCCGCCGUCGAUCCUUGCCCCAUUCACACCCGAAACACAAUCUCGACGCACCAGCCCCUCGCCCUCUCUCUGCUUGCCCUUCCACCGAACGGACGUCAUGCCAACAGGCGUCAUGGUAGCUACAGUUUUGAAGCAUCACUAUCUAAAAGCAAGGAGAGCAUAACAGAAAGCAAAAAAAAAGGAGUGCGCAGUUAUGUGUGCUUCCGUGCCACGGCGCUCUUGGAUGAGGUAGGGCAGUGCCACCUCAGCCCUGCGUGGGAGCGGCUGUAUAAAACGAC